RNAcentral lists this microRNA precursor (85 nucleotides) under Olea europaea subsp. europaea. RNAcentral's name for it is "mir-160 microRNA precursor family". It matches the Rfam family "mir-160 microRNA precursor family". Rfam says of the family: The hairpin precursors (represented here) are predicted based on base pairing and cross-species conservation -- their extents are not known. In this case the mature sequence is excised from the 5' arm of the hairpin. Lineage: Eukaryota; Viridiplantae; Streptophyta; Magnoliopsida; Lamiales; Oleaceae. The record is from Rfam by way of RNAcentral.
CUAUGCCUGGCUCCUUGUAUGCCAUUUGCAGUUUCGAUCAGACGGUGGUCGUAACUGCGUAUGGCGUGCCAGGAGCUAUGCAUAU